AGCGAACGCUGGCGGCAGGCCUAACACAUGCCAGUCGAACGAACCUUUCGGGGUUAGUGGCGGACGGGUGAGUAACACGUGGGAACGUGCCUUUAGGUUCGGAAUAACUCAGGGAAACUUGUGCUAAUACCGAAGGUGCCCUUCGGGGGAAAGAUUAAUCGCCUUUAGAGCGGCCCGCGUCUGAUUAGCUAGUUGGUUGAGGUAAUGGCUCACCAAGGCGACGAUCAGUAGCUGGUCUGAGAGGAUGAUCAGCCACAUUGGGAGUGAGACACGGCCCAAACUCCUACGGGAGGCAGCAGUGGGGAAUCUUGCGCAAUGGGAGAAAGCCUGACGCAGCCAUGCCGCGUGAAUGAUGAAGGUCUUAGGAUUGUAAAAUUCUUUCACCGGGGACGAUAAUGACGGUACCCGGAGAAGAAGCCCCGGCUAACUUCGUG
RNAcentral lists this ribosomal RNA (434 nucleotides) under uncultured bacterium. Its description in RNAcentral is "partial 16S ribosomal RNA". It matches the Rfam family "Bacterial small subunit ribosomal RNA", at positions 29 to 507 of the family's 1533-position model. The record is from RNAcentral.